Zingiber officinale is the source of this 1518-nucleotide long non-coding RNA. RefSeq lists it as uncharacterized. The record is from RefSeq and is a predicted model, not a curated record. NCBI's taxonomy places the organism in Eukaryota, Viridiplantae, Streptophyta, Magnoliopsida, Zingiberales, Zingiberaceae. The transcript has 3 exons.
UGGUCCUUCCCGAGCUCCUCGCGUCUCUUUCAACGUCUCUCAUCCGUUCACCUUGCUUUCCCGUUUCUCCCAAGUACUCUCAAGCUUCCUUUCGCUCAUCCCUGUCCGUCUCCAGCUGCAUAGGUCAGGGUCUUCAAAAUUUCUGUUGUUUUUUCCCCUUUACAGGAAGCACAGGUCAGUUUGCUGUAGUUGGAGCUCUACCGAGGCUGGUUCCUGCCCUCCCAGAAAAGGGAUUUGGUCAAUUAGGUCAUUUUUUCCUUAAAGUUGUUCUAUGUUUUGAAAGACGUUUUCUUUCUCUUCUGAUGUUGAUCUAUACUUGAUUGACAGGGAUGAUCUGGUAGAGAAUUUAUGCCAAUGCCAAUCAAUUUUCUCUUGGAUUCUUUAGCAUUGACCUUUGGAACUUUACUCUUUAAUGGGAGGCCAAAGGGUUUACAUUUUAUUCUCUUAAUCUAAAAGGAAGAUUGCCAUGACUUGCACAUAGCACGUUAGGCAUUAUAAUACCUAAUCAUCUUGAAAUGGUCAGCACUUUUACAGCAUUAACUUCCUUGCAAAAUGUCAUGUUUCUAUGUAAGUAUUUGGGCAUCCUUUAAAAUUGAAAAUUUGAUAUAUAGUUUAUGCAGGAUGCAUGUCCAUGAAUUGCAUUAUUAUAUUUGUGAAUAUUUGUGCAUGUUUCAUUUAUAUAUAAAAAGGGCUUGCUAUUGCCAAAAGUUGUGAAUAUUUGUGCAUAUUUGUUCAUUGCUUUCUCUUAUGGUAUUUCAACUUUAGAUAUUUGUAAUAUCCUGAUAAUGGAAUUUAAUGACAUAGGUUCAUUGAGAGAGUUGCAUUUUUAAAAUGAAGGCAUCAUAUUGAGUUGUAUAUAUUGAUCUGAAUUAGAGUAUGCAAACUUUGAGUUGUAUAUAUUGCUCUGAAUUGAGUUGUAUAUAUUACAUUUUUUAAAUGAAGGCAUCAUAUUAACCUUAUGUAAACUUUGUAACUCUUGCAGAGGGCUCCAAGUAUGCAAUGAGAGGUUACUUGACCGACAAAGCAUAUGUGUAUGGUUUUGGCAUGGUGACAUUAGAAAUUGUCAGUGGAAUAAACAACACUAAUUUUAGGCCCAAGGAGGAAUUUGUUUAUUUUCUUGAUUGGCUUAUGUUUUGCAAGAGCAUGGAAAUUUGUUUGAAUUAGUUGACCAAAGUCUUGGCUCUAACUACUCAAAGGAGGAAGCACUGCAAAUGUUGGAACUGUCUCUUGUUUGCACCGACCUUUCCCCAAUGCUUAGGCCUGCAAUGUCAUCUGUGAUAAGCAUGCUCGAAGGCAAGAUGCCAAUGAAGGUCAUGCUGGCAAAUCGAGCAACUUGUAUGAUAGAUGCAUAUACGGAAUUUGAAGCAUUUGUUGGCUUGGUACUACUACGUACAACUAUUGUUGGUGUAACAUGGGAGUGCCAGGCAAGAGUUUUGUGCAAACUUGUUUCUUUGACCAAAUGCACCUUAUAAUCAUUGUUUUCGUCAAUUUCCUUUUCCAGGUCAUCAUUUGUGGAAU